GAUGAACGCUGGCGGCGUGCUUAACACAUGCAAGUCGAACGAGAAGUGAAGACGGAACCCUUCUGGCGGAAGGCUUUAUUUCGAGUGGCGGCCGGGUGAGUAACGCGUGGGUAAUCUGCCUCAUACAGGGGGAUAACAGUUGGAAACGACUGUUAAUACCGCAUAAGACCACGGCACCGCAUGGUGCGGGGGUAAAAACUCCGGUGGUAUGAGAUGGACGCGCGUUCGAUUAGCCAGUUGGCCGGGUAACGGCCCACCAAAGCGACGAUCGAUAGCCGAUCUGAGAGGAUGACCGGCCACAUUGGGACUGAGACACGGCCCAAACUCCUACGCGAGGCAGCAGUGGGGAAUAUUGCACAAUGGGGGAAACCCUGAUGCAGCGACGCCGGGUGAGUGAAGAAGUAUGUCGGUAUGUAAAGCUCUAUCAGAAGGGAAGAAAAUGACGGUACCUGAGUAAGAAGCCCCGGCUAACUACGUG
Molecule: ribosomal RNA, 478 nt
Filed under: uncultured bacterium
Lineage: Bacteria
Description: partial 16S ribosomal RNA
Rfam family: Bacterial small subunit ribosomal RNA
Source: RNAcentral